GAACGCUGGCGGCAGGCCUAACACAUGCAAGUCGAACGGUAACAGGAAGAAGCUUGCUUCUUUGCUGACGAGUGGCGGACGGGUGAGUAAUGUCUGGGAAACUGCCUGAUGGAGGGGGAUAACUACUGGAAACGGUAGCUAAUACCGCAUAACGUCGCAAGACCAAAGAGGGGGACCUUCGGGCCUCUUGCCAUCGGAUGUGCCCAGAUGGGAUUAGCUAGUAGGUGGGGUAAAGGCUCACCUAGGCGACGAUCCCUAGCUGGUCUGAGAGGAUGACCAGCCACACUGGAACUGAGGCACGGUCCAGACUCCUACGGGAGGCAGCAGUGGGGAAUAUUGCACAAUGGGCGCAAGCCUGAUGCAGCCAUGCCGCGUGUAUGAAGAAGGCCUUCGGGUUGUAAAGUACUUUCAGCGGGGAGGAAGGGAGUAAAGUUAAUACCUUUGCUCAUUGACGUUACCCGCAGAAGAAGCACCGGCUAACUCCGUGCCAGCAGCCGCGGUAAUACGGAGGGUGCAAGCGUUAAUCGGAAUUACUGGGCGUAAAGCGCACGCAGGCGGUUUGUUAAGUCAGAUGUGAAAUCCCCGGGCUCAACCUGGGAACUGCAUCUGAUACUGGCAAGCUUGAGUCUCGUAGAGGGGGGUAGAAUUCCAGGUGUAGCGGUGAAAUGCGUAGAGAUCUGGAGGAAUACCGGUGGCGAAGGCGGCCCCCCUGGACGAAGACAGACGCUCAGGUGCGAAAGCGUGGGGGAGCAAACAGGAUUAGAUACCCUGGUAGUCCACGCCGUAAACGAUGUCGACUUGGAGGUUGUGCCCUUGAGGCGUGGCUUCCGGAGCUAACGCGUUAAGUCGACCGCCUGGGGAGUACGGCCGCAAGGUUAAAACUCAAAUGAAUUGACGGGGGCCCGCACAAGCGGUGGAGCAUGUGGUUUAAUUCGAUGCAACGCGAAGAACCUUACCUGGUCUUGACAUCCACAGAACUUUCCAGAGAUGGAUUGGUGCCUUCGGGAACUGUGAGACAGGUGCUGCAUGGCUGUCGUCAGCUCGUGUUGUGAAAUGUUGGGUUAAGUCCCGCAACGAGCGCAACCCUUAUCCUUUGUUGCCAGCGGUCCGGCCGGGAACUCAAAGGAGACUGCCAGUGAUAAACUGGAGGAAGGUGGGGAUGACGUCAAGUCAUCAUGGCCCUUACGACCAGGGCUACACACGUGCUACAAUGGCGCAUACAAAGAGAAGCGACCUCGCGAGAGCAAGCGGACCUCAUAAAGUGCGUCGUAGUCCGGAUUGGAGUCUGCAACUCGACUCCAUGAAGUCGGAAUCGCUAGUAAUCGUGGAUCAGAAUGCCACGGUGAAUACGUUCCCGGGCCUUGUACACACCGCCCGUCACACCAUGGGAGUGGGUUGCAAAAGAAGUAGGUAGCUUAACCUUCGGGAGGGCGCUUACCACUUUGUGAUUCAUGACUGGGG
RNAcentral lists this ribosomal RNA (1461 nucleotides) under uncultured organism. RNAcentral's name for it is "SSU rRNA". It matches the Rfam family "Bacterial small subunit ribosomal RNA". The record is from RNAcentral.